CGGCUCCGUGGUGUAGCGGGCAACGCGCUCACCUCACAAGCUGGAGACUCGGGUUCGAUCCCCGCCGCCGA
This 71-nucleotide transfer RNA is filed under the name Plutella xylostella (diamondback moth). Its description in RNAcentral is "tRNA-Val". The record is from RNAcentral. Lineage: Eukaryota; Metazoa; Arthropoda; Insecta; Lepidoptera; Plutellidae.